RNAcentral lists this ribosomal RNA (427 nucleotides) under uncultured bacterium. RNAcentral describes it as "bacterial SSU rRNA". It matches the Rfam family "Bacterial small subunit ribosomal RNA", at positions 355 to 773 of the family's 1533-position model. The record is from RNAcentral.
UAGGGAAUAUUGCGCAAUGGAGGAAACUCUGACGCAGCGACGCCGCGUGGGUGAUGAAGGCUUUCGGGUCGUAAAGCCCUGUCGAAAGGGGAGAAAAACGGUCUGGCUAAUAUCCAGGCCGCUUGACGGUACCUUUAGAGGAAGCACCGGCUAACUACGUGCCAGCAGCCGCGGUAAUACGUAGGGUGCUAGCGUUGUUCGGAAUCAUUGGGCGUAAAGCGCGUGUAGGCUGUUAGCUAAGUCGAGUGUGAAAUCCCUGGGCUCAACCGAGGAAGUGCAUUCGAAACUAGCUGGCUAGAAGACGGUAGAGGAAGGUGGAAUUCCAAGUGUAGAGGUGAAAUUCGUAGAUAUUUGGAGGAAUACCUGUGGCGAAGGCGGCCUUCUGGGCCGAUCUUGACGCUGAGACGCGAAAGCGUGGGGAGCAAAC